Molecule: long non-coding RNA, 802 nt
Organism: Cyprinus carpio carpio
Lineage: Eukaryota; Metazoa; Chordata; Actinopteri; Cypriniformes; Cyprinidae
Source: Ensembl
GGCCAAUCUCUCCCGUCUCGCGCAGCACUGGUUACUGGCCGGGGGUCCCAACGCACACCAGGUAGCGGAGCGUGUCGUCGUGGAUCGCCUCCUGCGGGCCCUUCCUCGCCCGCUACGUCAGGCAGCCGGCAUGCGGAACCCAGCGAACGUGGACGAACUGGUAGAGCGCCGCCGUUUCCCCGAAGGGUGGUCCAGGAGCGGCGCACGCCGGAGGGCACCCAGCGACCGGUGAGCAGGCCGGCGGUUCCCGGCCCUAGAGAUGAGCCCAUGCCCACCGAGGCACCCCGUUCACCGCCACGACCUUGGCUGGCAGGCUGCGCCGUGCACACGGAGAACGCGCCGCGGGCGGAGGUUCACCUAAACGGCCGCCCCUUCCUCGCUCUUCUAGACUCCGGCAGCGCGGUCAGCCUCGUGAAGACGGCGGUGUUGCCCCUGCGGCCUGAAGCCAAAACGAAGCUCUCCAUCACCUGUGUGCACGGCGACACCAGGGACGUGCCGGCUCGACGAGUUACCAUCGCUGCGCCACCCGGCGCCUGGCCCAUAGAUGUCGGACUGGUCAAGGAUCUGCCGGUACCGGUCCUCCUCGGGCGAGACUGGCCAGGGUUCGACCAGCUGCUCGCCUCCGUCACUCAGCCUGCCGGCCCGGCCGGGAACCGCCCAUCCCGGAAGCCCAGCAAGAGGAACCGACGGCGUCCCGUGCUGCUGGCCUCGGACAGCCCCAGAGAUGAGAGCAGUGUGUGACCGCCAGCCCCACCAUACACGGGAGAGCACAACGGACCCACCCUGCCACCGCACACCAGAG